UUGAAAGUUGGGGUUAGUAGGUUGGACGUGCCACUGGUAUGUACUGGCUCUACUGAUCCCUCCUUCUUGUAGAACCGUAAUGCCAUUAACUUGGUGUUGCGGGGUAACAGGACUGUUACUUUGAAAAAAUUAGAGUGUUUAAAGCAGGCUAACGCUUGAAUACAUUAGCAUGGAAUAUGAAAUAGGACGCUCGAUCCUAUUUUGUUGGUUUCUAGGAUUGACGUAAUGAUUAAUAGGGAUAGUUGGGGGCAUUAGUAUUCAAUUGUCAGAGGUGAAAUUCUUGGAUUUAUUGAAGACUAACUACUGCGAAAGCAUUUGCCAAGGAUGUUUUCAUUAAUCAAGAACGAAAGUUAGGGGAUCGAAGACGAUCAGAUACCGUCGUAGUCUUAACCAUAAACUAUGCCGACUAGGGAUCGGAUGAUGUUAAUUUUUUAAUGACUC
Molecule: ribosomal RNA, 441 nt
Filed under: fungal sp.
Lineage: Eukaryota; Fungi
Description: SSU rRNA
Rfam family: Eukaryotic small subunit ribosomal RNA
Source: RNAcentral